CGAAUUCUCUCAUCUGUUCUUAGCAUUUUCACGUAACUUUCGUUUUCUCUCAAACUCUCUUUUGUUAUCUCCAAACAGUAGCAUAUGUUCCUUAGAUUUCCUCUCCAUUCAUUUCAUUUUUUCUCAAAUUUCUCAACUCUAAAUCCAUUCGUAGCAUCCCUAAGAAGAUUAAGGACCUUAAAAGGAAGAAGAAUAUUACAAUUUAAAAUGGGUUUUGAAAGGAGGGGAAAGCAUGGUUUCAAUCAAGGUAAAAGGGAAACACUCUCCCUUAUUUUUUUUCCUUCAAAUACUAUUUCAAGCCUCUGCCUUAUGAUUCUAUUGAUUGAUUUAAGGUGGUAAUUCUUGGAUAAAUUGACAAAUUGAGGGUUUAUGGAAGAAACCCAAAUGCAGCAAAGAGGUGAAGAAAAUUCUUCCUUUCUUGUUUCUUUCUUUCCAUCAGUUUAAGCAUAUUUUCAUGGUCUCAAAUGGUAGCUAGGAUGUCCAAUUUAACAAGUUGGAGAAAGAAAGAAAAAAAAGAACUUGAGUGGGAGAAUAGGGCACCAAUUUGGGAAGGUUCUCUUGUUUUCUUUCUUUUCAAUUAUGUUCUAAUAAGUUCCAAUAGAUGUCUAUAAAUGAUUUGAGAAAGAGGUGGAUUAAAAAUUAGGCUCUAGAUAUUGAAAGAGGAAAGUGGAGGAGAAAACCCAAAUUCAGAUUUUUUUUUUUUACUUCAACAGACUAGUUACCCAUCCUUAAAUCAAUUUAAAAUUCAUUAUUAUGGGUGGGAAUGAUGUGAUUGAGGAUCAACAAUAAUAAGAAUUUGAAAUGGAACAUAAGAUACAGAAAAGUUAGGUUUUGAGAAAGAAUUAUUGGGGUUUCCAAAUUUGGAAAUCUUUUAAUGGUUUCAGGAGACUAAAUGUGUUUAAAAGAAGUUAUAUUGAUUUAAAUUGGCUGAAAUAUAGGCUAAUGAAAAGAAAUUAUGAGUAUUGAAACUUAGGUUUCAUAAGUUGCCCAAAUUGGGAAUUUUCUUUUUAACUAAAAGUUUUAAUGAGUUAUUCCAGCUUGUUAGAACUCUUUUACAGGAACUAACUGAAUGUUUGAAUAUGCUGGAAAUUUUAUUAUGUGCAUGCCAUAAGAAAUUCGCAACUUUAGCUAUUUUGGACGAGCAAAGUAGAGGAGUUUAAGUUGUGGUUUCGGUUAAGAAACGAAAAAGAAGGGCUUUUGUUUACUUGAGAUAUUCUAAGGCUAAAUUAAGGAGUGAAGUAAGUGUUUGAAGCAUUAAACUCUAUCUUUCCAUGCGUAUAAUUUAUAAUCAUGUAUAGUAACUAUAGUUGCUACUGCUUGGUUAUAUAUGCGUAUAUAAAUUAAGAGUAUGACUAUUCAUACCCUUUUCAACACAAGUUAAAAAUAAUAAAAAUAAUAAUAAAAUUUCAUUAAGUUGUAUAUGGUUUGGUUAUGUUACAUAUGAUGAGAUUAAUAUGUGUUAAGGCACAAUUUUGAACAGGUAGAUCAACUGAACUUUAUAAUUAUAUGAAAAGUGUUAUGAGGAUGCAUAUGAGUAGCUAAAACAUGCGAGUGUUUUGGGAAUAUUGUGGAUAAAAUGGUUAAAUGACUAUAGGAUUCUGCAAUUUCAUUGAAAUUGUUCUAAUCAUAUAUGAGAUAAGUAAAAGUAUGACUUGGUUGUAUUCAUUGAAAUUAAAGUAUUAUUAUAUUAUUUAUGCUAGUUUAAUUUAAGCAUGAUCUGUAGGAUUGAAUGCAUGAUCAAUUAUUGUAAUAGUUUAUCUGUUUGUAAGAUACAAAAUAGCAACUAUGAAAAUAAAUAUAUGUGCAAAGGAUAUUAAAAUGAAUUAAAUAUGUUAUAUUUUAGUCAACAUAUCUAUCUCUGAGAUGAUGUGAUGAACUUUAAGUUGGUGUAAUUAAGUUUUGAGUCAAACCUAUGGUGACUGUAUACAUUUUAAAUUGAUAGAAAACAAUGAUAUAAUUCAAUAUUGUGUUAAAAGACACCUGAUUAUAUAAUUCUGUCUCAUUUGUUGUUAUUCCUGAUAUUAUGUCUGUGCCUAGCAUAUUAUGUAACUUUGUAGUUUGACCAAAAAUUUGUUAUCUAAUUCGGUGGUUCCGCAUUUAAGUAGAUCAAUAAGUAAACUCAUUUUGGAAAAGAUAUUUAUCUCUUACUACUAUUAUUCUAAUACAGGAUACAAUAAAUAAAUUAGGAAUGUGAAUAGCUAAUAAUUCUUAUUUAAUUUUUCUCUUUAGAGAAAUAAAUUAAUAUGAGAAGAUGGGAUUCAAAGUAAAGUUGUAGUGUGUUAAGCUCUAAUUGAGUCACCUUUGAUAUGUGAUUCUGAAUUAGGUCAUUAUGGAUAUAUUAAUAUGAAAUAAGAAGUCUAAAAUACCAGUGAAGUAAGAUUUAUAAUGUAUAAAUAGAAAUUUAUUUAUUAAAUCAUGAAGACAUGAGAGAGGGUUAAGAAUUACCAUACGUGGUUUAUAAUUAAGGGAAAUGACCUGAGAUUAGUUGUUUUGCCACUUUUGUUACAUUCAAUAGUGGUUCUACCACUUCUUUUAUCUGACAAUUAUGACUUUGUCACUCCUACUAUAUGAAAUUAAAUGGCUUAUCUGUAUCUAAUAAAAGUGGCUCUGCCACUUCUGUUAAAUAAAUAUAGUGACUUCUGAUAUGGUAGCUUUGUAACAAUAGGUUUUCCCUCAAUUCUAAACCCAUCAUAGAAGUUCUAAAUGUGCAAAAAAGGAAGUGAAGUGAAAUUGAAUUGUUAUGAUCCAUUAAACUAGAGAUGUUUUACUCUGUUUAUAAUUGGUUCACUUUGAAUAACAAUGAAGAAUCUGUUAUUCUGCUAUGGGUUAUGGCAAUAAAGGUUAGAAACCAUGUCAAGGGUAUAUAAUUUAUACUUGCUCUGAGAAAUUCUAUGAUAUGGUUUGAGUAUGUGAAUAAUAUUUGACGUGGAAUAGAUGUGUAAGGCCAGUAAAGAGUAGAAAGAUAUGAGAAAAGUAUAUGUUACUAAAUUGUGAAUUCUGAAGUAAUGUGGUACCAACUCCCAAGAAGAAUCGGAAAUUUUAAUGAGUUAUAUUUUGAUACAUGGUAGAUAAUGUAUCAAAGUUUCAGAAAGUCAGUUUUAAGAUAGAUAAGUUGGUUAUGUUAAAUUGUUAUUAAGUAUUUAUUCCAUUGUUUUUAAGAAUGAUGUUGACUGUCUGCAGGUAUUUAGCAUAUGGGAAUUGUAUUAAUGGAUCUUUUACUUGAAGUUUUGGGCAGCCAUCAAGUGAAGAUCAAGUGAAGAUAGGUAUACCUACUGGACACACAGACAGCAUGGCUGUAAAAUUGUUGGGUCAUGUAUAUGAGCAUAAUCACGUAGUUUUACCUUUUCUUUUUAUUAUAUAUUUUUAUGUGCAUAUUUGUGAAAGUAGCAAGAAUAAUAUUCUGAUUUGAAAAUUCAGCUAAUUGAAAAGAGUCUUGUAUUAUAUUCUAGGAUGAAGUAAUGGUGGAUUAAGGUUCGUUAUCAAAGAAAAAAAAAUUACAUUAUGGGAAUGUCUUACAUGGUGAUUACUUGAAAAACAAAUUUUAUAUUUGAAUGUUCUGUAUUAAAAGGUCUUGACAUUGGUUGAAGAAAGUUAAAUAUUUGAGUGUUGGAUUCUAAAAUUUUUUCUUCACGGGUGGUUUUAGGUCUAGUUAUAAAGGAGACAAGUCUAGUUAUGAAGGAGAUUUUGUGAACAUUUUGUUGAG
RNAcentral lists this unclassified non-coding RNA (3703 nucleotides) under Hevea brasiliensis (rubber tree). The record is from RNAcentral. Lineage: Eukaryota; Viridiplantae; Streptophyta; Magnoliopsida; Malpighiales; Euphorbiaceae.